UACGUAGGGGGCAAGCGUUGUCCGGAAUUAUUGGGCGUAAAGCGCGUGUAGGCGGCCAGAAAAGUCCGCUGUGAAAACUCGAGGCUCAACUUCGAGCUGUCGGUGGAAACUUUCUGGCUAGAGUCCGGAAGAGGAGAAUGGAAUUCCUGGUGUAGCAGUGAAAUGCGUAGAUAUCAGGAGGAAUACCGAUGGCGAAGGCAGGUCUCUGGGCUGACACUGACGCUCAUGCACGAAAGCGUGGGGAGCAAACAGG
Molecule: ribosomal RNA, 253 nt
Filed under: uncultured bacterium
Lineage: Bacteria
Description: partial 16S ribosomal RNA
Rfam family: Bacterial small subunit ribosomal RNA
Source: RNAcentral